AGCGAACGCUGGCGGCAGGCCUAACACAUGCAAGUCGAACGAACUCUUCGGAGUUAGUGGCGGACGGGUGAGUAACACGUGGGAACGUGCCUUUUGGUUCGGAAUAACUCAGGGAAACUUGUGCUAAUACCGAAUGUGCCCUUCGGGGGAAAGAUUUAUCGCCAUUAGAGCGGCCCGCGUCUGAUUAGCUAGUUGGUGAGGUAACGGCUCACCAAGGCGACGAUCAGUAGCUGGUCUGAGAGGAUGACCAGCCACACUGGGACUGAGACACGGCCCAGACUCCUACGGGGGGCAGCAGUGGGGAAUCUUGCGCAAUGAGCGAAAGCCUGACGCAGCCAUGCCGCGUGAAUGAUGAAGGUCUUAGGAUUGUAAAAUUCUUUCACCGGGGACGAUAAUGACGGUACCCGGAGAAGAAGCCCCGGCUAACUUCGUG
This 433-nucleotide ribosomal RNA is filed under the name uncultured bacterium. Its description in RNAcentral is "partial 16S ribosomal RNA". It matches the Rfam family "Bacterial small subunit ribosomal RNA", at positions 29 to 507 of the family's 1533-position model. The record is from RNAcentral.